UACAGAGGGUGCAAGCGUUGUUCGGAAUUAUUGGGCGUAAAGGGCUCGUAGGCGGCCAACUAAGUCAGACGUGAAAUCCCUCGGCUUAACCGGGGAACUGCAUCUGAUACUGGAUGGCUUGAGUUCGGGAGAGGGAUGCGGAAUUCCAGGUGUAGCGGUGAAAUGCGUAGAUAUCUGGAGGAACACCGGUGGCGAAGGCGGCAUCCUGGACCGACACUGACGCUGAGGAGCGAAAGCCAGGGGAGCAAACGGG
Molecule: ribosomal RNA, 253 nt
Filed under: uncultured bacterium
Lineage: Bacteria
Description: partial 16S ribosomal RNA
Rfam family: Bacterial small subunit ribosomal RNA
Source: RNAcentral